Xiphophorus hellerii (green swordtail) is the source of this 511-nucleotide long non-coding RNA. RefSeq lists it as uncharacterized. NCBI's taxonomy places the organism in Eukaryota, Metazoa, Chordata, Actinopteri, Cyprinodontiformes, Poeciliidae. The record is from RefSeq and is a predicted model, not a curated record. The transcript has 2 exons.
GCAAGUUUCCUGAACCAAACUCUGAGGACUCAGAUAAAAAGAGUAUGACGAGAGUUUGAGCAAAAAGGCAGCAGAAGAUGGACUGACAGACCAGAAAAGACAUUGUGACAGAGUCCCAGUAGAGAUGCCACCAGCCAGUCUGAGAGGGACUGCGUGCCGAGAUAUUCCCUAACAGCAGCGUCAGAGAUGGAAGAGUGAAAACUACACCUGCUGAAGUCCAAAUUCAGUUCCCAAAGAGAAGUGACACCAUAAACUGGUUUGAGACCAGAGUAAAAACACUUUUCAUCAGUUUUAUUGGUGGCCAGAGACGAUGGAUCCGAGGCAGAACACUACAAAUCUUCUUUUCUCACAUAUGUAUUUGUAGUUAUGUGGACAUUUUAUCUUUAAAUGUCUACAAGCAAUUAAUAGAGUAUAUCUGUAAAGUGCUGGAAGUUCAUGUCUUGUUUAAUCUGUUAAAGAAAAAUAGUUUUUCACUGUUUUACGUCAUCACCACAAACUAUGCACACAUUUC